This 869-nucleotide ribosomal RNA is filed under the name uncultured compost bacterium. RNAcentral describes it as "bacterial SSU rRNA". It matches the Rfam family "Bacterial small subunit ribosomal RNA", at positions 28 to 897 of the family's 1533-position model. The record is from RNAcentral.
GACGAACGCUGGCGGCGUGCCUAAUACAUGCAAGUCGAACGGGGUUGCACGGCGGAAGCCUUCGGGUGGAAGCUGUGUAGCCUAGUGGCGGACGGGUGAGUAACGCGUGGGCAACCUGCCCUCCAGCCCGGGAUAACUUCCGGAAACGGGAGCUAAUCCCGGAUGCGGAGCAAAGGACGCAUGUUUUUUGCUCGAAAGCUUCGGCGCUGGAGGAUGGGCCCGCGUCCCAUUAGCUAGUUGGUGAGGUAACGGCUCACCAAGGCGACGAUGGGUAGCCGGCCUGAGAGGGUGAUCGGCCACACUGGGACUGAGACACGGCCCAGACUCCUACGGGAGGCAGCAGUAGGGAAUCUUGCGCAAUGGGCGAAAGCCUGACGCAGCGACGCCGCGUGAGGGAAGAAGGCCUUCGGGUCGUAAACCUCUGUCCUUGGGGACGAUGAUGACGGUACCCAAGGAGGAAGCCCCGGCUAACUACGUGCCAGCAGCCGCGGUAAUACGUAGGGGGCGAGCGUUGUCCGGAAUCACUGGGCGUAAAGGGUGCGUAGGCGGCUUGGCAAGUCCUGUGUGAAAGGUCGCGGCUCAACCGCGGUGGGUCAUGGGAAACUGCCAAGCUCGAGUGCCGGAGAGGAUAGCGGAAUUCCCGGUGUAGCGGUGAAAUGCGUAGAGAUCGGGAGGAACACCAGUGGCGAAGGCGGCUAUCUGGAAGGUCACUGACGCUGAGGCACGACAGCUGGGGGAGCAAACAGGAUUAGAUACCCUGGUAGUCCCAGCCGUAAACGAUGAGUGCUAGGUGUUGCGGGUAUCGACCCCUGCAGUGCCGAAGUCAACACAAUAAGCACUCCGCCUGGGGAGUACGGCCGCAAGGCUAA